This 447-nucleotide ribosomal RNA is filed under the name uncultured bacterium. RNAcentral describes it as "bacterial SSU rRNA". It matches the Rfam family "Bacterial small subunit ribosomal RNA", at positions 355 to 825 of the family's 1533-position model. The record is from RNAcentral.
UGGGGAAUAUUGGACAAUGGGCGAAAGCCUGAUCCAGCAAUGCCGCGUGAGUGAUGAAGGCCUUAGGGUUGUAAAGCUCUUUUACCAGGGAUGAUAAUGACAGUACCUGGAGAAUAAGCUCCGGCUAACUCCGUGCCAGCAGCCGCGGUAAUACGGAGGGAGCUAGCGUUGUUCGGAAUUACUGGGCGUAAAGCGUACGUAGGCGGUGACUCAAGUCAGAGGUGAAAGCCUGGAGCUCAACUCCAGAACUGCCUUUGAAACUAGGUCGCUAGAAUCACGGAGAGGUGAGUGGAGUUCCGAGUGUAGAGGUGAAAUUCGUAGAUAUUCGGAAGAACACCAGUGGCGAAGGCGGCUCACUGGACGUGUAUUGACGCUGAGGUACGAAAGCGUGGGGAGCAAACAGGAUUAGAUACCCCCGUAGUCCCUGAGCGGGCUGGCAAGGCGCAU